This is an unclassified non-coding RNA of Erinaceus europaeus (western European hedgehog), 317 nucleotides long. Its record names the gene 7SK. It matches the Rfam family "7SK RNA". Rfam says of the family: 7SK was discovered as an abundant small nuclear RNA in the mid-70s but a possible function has only recently been suggested. The record is from Ensembl. Lineage: Eukaryota; Metazoa; Chordata; Mammalia; Eulipotyphla; Erinaceidae.
GGAUGUGAGGGUGAUCUGGCUGCGACAUCUGUCACCCCAUUGAUCGCCAGGGUUGAUUUGGCUGAUCUGGCUGGCUAGGCGGGUGUCCCCUUCCUCCCUCACUGCUCCAUGUGUGUCCCUCCCGAAGCUGUGCACUCAGUCGAAGAGGAUGGCCUUCCCCGAAUAGAGAUGGACCGGUCUUCGGUCGAGGGUAUACGAGUAGCUACGCUCCCCUGCUAGAACCUCCAAACAGGCUCUCAGAAAGUGUGAAAUGUUGAGGAGUAAAGAUAGCGUCUCAUAUCCUCCCUCUUCCUGGUGUGUAUCUGCACAUGUGUGAA